GGUGAACGUUGGCGGUUUGGAUUAGGCAUGCAAGUCGAGCGAAUUGAUAUCAGAGCUUGCUCCGGUGGAUUAGUGGCGAACGGGUGAGUAACACGUGAGCAAUCUGCCCUUGACUCUGGGAUAACUGCGGGAAACUGUAGCUAAUACCGGAUACGACACCUUGGGGCAUCCCAGGGUGUGGAAAGAAUUUCGGUCAAGGAUGAGCUCGCGGCCUAUCAGCUAGUUGGUGAGGUAAUGGCUCACCAAGGCGACGACGGGUAGCCGGCCUGAGAGGGUGACCGGCCACACUGGAACUGAGACACGGUCCAGACUCCUACGGGAGGCAGCAGUGGGGAAUAUUGCACAAUGGGCGAAAGCCUGAUGCAGCAACGCCGCGUGAGGGAUGAAGGCCUUCGGGUUGUAAACCUCUUUUAGCAGGGAAGAAGCGAAAGUGACGGUACCUGCAGAAAAAGCACCGGCUAACUACGUGCCAGCAGCCGCGGUAA
This 485-nucleotide ribosomal RNA is filed under the name uncultured bacterium. Its description in RNAcentral is "partial 16S ribosomal RNA". It matches the Rfam family "Bacterial small subunit ribosomal RNA", at positions 28 to 523 of the family's 1533-position model. The record is from RNAcentral.